UACGUAGGGUGCAAGCGUUGUCCGGAAUUAUUGGGCGUAAAGAGCUCGUAGGCGGUUUGUCGCGUCUGCUGUGAAAACUCAGGGCUUAACCCUGAGCCUGCAGUGGGUACGGGCAGACUAGAGUGUGGUAGGGGAGAUCGGAAUUCCUGGUGUAGCGGUGGAAUGCGCAGAUAUCAGGAGGAACACCGAUGGCGAAGGCAGGUCUCUGGGCCACUACUGACGCUGAGAAGCGAAAGCAUGGGGAGCGAACAGG
RNAcentral lists this ribosomal RNA (253 nucleotides) under uncultured bacterium. Its description in RNAcentral is "partial 16S ribosomal RNA". It matches the Rfam family "Bacterial small subunit ribosomal RNA", at positions 524 to 776 of the family's 1533-position model. The record is from RNAcentral.